GGGAAAGUUGAAAAGAACUUUGAAGAGAGAGUUCAAUAGUACGUGAAACCUCUCGGGGGUAAGCGGGCAGAACUUGCAAGUAUUGGUGAGGAGAUUCAGGCUUAGGGUUGGUGACUGAGGGUAUGAUUUAAGUUGUCUGUUCGCAGUCUGGCUGAAUUGUGCUCUUUGUUUUACUGAUAAUGCGCCGCAUUUCUUCUCAUCAUCCGGGUUGCAUGCAACUGAGUGGUAAUUUAGGUGCUGGGUGUCUGCGUGUCCUUGUGGCUCGAGCCCUGGUCUCCGAUUACUUAUGCGGUUGUUGAAAGCGAACAGGCGUUUGUCGCGGUCAAUGUUAUUCACGAGUAGGGUUCUUAUGGUGUAUGGAUGGGUAACCAUAGUACAUUGUAUGGACUGAUUGUCAGUGAGUGAUAUUUGGCUCUGUUCAGUAUUG
RNAcentral lists this ribosomal RNA (427 nucleotides) under Tomocerus baudoti L2. RNAcentral describes it as "partial 28S ribosomal RNA". The record is from RNAcentral. Lineage: Eukaryota; Metazoa; Arthropoda; Collembola; Entomobryomorpha; Tomoceridae.